Carassius carassius (crucian carp) is the source of this 4895-nucleotide RNA transcript. It is a transcript of the gene named dihydrolipoyllysine-residue succinyltransferase component of 2-oxoglutarate dehydrogenase complex, mitochondrial-like, with no coding region annotated. Lineage: Eukaryota; Metazoa; Chordata; Actinopteri; Cypriniformes; Cyprinidae. The transcript has 18 exons. The record is from RefSeq and is a predicted model, not a curated record.
UGCUCCGCGCAGUUUCCGGUUGGCGGCGGCGCUGUUUCCGUUGCUGUGGUGCGUGCGGUCCUCCCGAAGACAUGUUGUCCCGUUCCCGCUGUGUCACCUGGAGCCUCGGCCGCUCGAUCAGCGCCCUGCGUCAGGGUAACAGUGUUCUCGCGAGACACGCUGCUUCAGGUAUAUCAGCGAGUCAGUGUGUCACCUUCAAGAACAGCCCGAGGAGAGAGACCCAGUCGAGUGUCUAUCAGAUCAGAUACUUCAACACCUCAGCUGCUCACAGGAAUGAGGUUGUCACAGUGAAUACACCAGCGUUUGCGGAGUCUGUCACAGAGGGAGACGUCAGGUGGGAGAGAGCUGUUGGAGACAGUGUCUCUGAAGACGAGGUCGUCUGUGAGAUUGAGACCGAUAAGACGUCGGUGGAGGUUCCCUCUCCAGCUGCAGGAGUCAUCGAGGAGCUGCUGGUUCCUGACGGAGGGAAAGUGGAAGGAGGAACUCCUCUGUUCAGACUCAAGAAAGGAGUUGGAGCUGCUAAGACGACAGCAGCAGCUCCUCCUCCUGCAGCAGAGACUCCUCCUCCUUCUCCUCCGCCUGCUCCACCUGCUGCUGCUGCUUCUGCCGGAGGACCCAUCCCCACCAGCAUGCCCCCUGUACCCCCUGUGCCGGCCCAGCCCAUCCUCUCCAAACCAGUUUCUGCCAUAAAACCCACUGCAGCUCCUGCUGAUGCUGCUGACACCGGAGCCAAAGCCGCCCGAUCAGAGCACAGGGUGAAGAUGAACCGCAUGAGACAGCGAAUCGCUCAGCGGCUGAAGGAAGCGCAGGACACCUGUGCCAUGCUGACAACCUUCAAUGAAGUUGAUAUGAGCAACAUCACAGACAUGAGGAAACAGUAUAAAGAUGCUUUCCUGAAGAAACAUGGCAUCAAACUGGGCUUCAUGUCUGCGUUUGUGAAAGCGGCUGCCUACGCUUUGACAGAGCAGCCUGCCGUUAACGCUGUCAUUGAUGACACAACCAAAGAGAUUGUGUAUCGGGAUUAUGUGGAUAUCAGUGUGGCAGUCGCAACACCAAAGGGGCUCGUGGUUCCCGUGAUCAGAGGAGUGGAGGGAAUGAACUUCGCAGACAUCGAGAGAACGAUUAACGAGCUGGGAGAGAAGGCUCGUAAGAACGAGCUGGCUGUGGAGGACAUGGACGGAGGCACCUUCACCAUCAGCAACGGAGGAGUGUUCGGAUCCAUGUUCGGGACUCCCAUCAUCAACCCGCCGCAGUCGGCCAUCCUGGGCAUGCAUGGUAUCUUUGACCGGCCCGUGGCCAUCGCUGGGAAGGUGGAGAUCCGGCCGAUGAUGUACGUGGCUCUGACGUACGACCACCGCUUGAUCGACGGCAGAGAGGCCGUCACCUUCCUCAGGAAGAUCAAGUCAGUGGUGGAGGACCCUCGGGUGCUGCUGCUGGACAUCUGAGCAGAAACACUAUGUUCCAGUGAGUCGCUGGUGCUUGUGUGUGUUCACGAGACCUCGACACGUCCCGCACAACUCCAGACCAUCAGAUCCUGUCUGCCUAAGUAAUAAAAUAAAAUAAGAGCUAUAAAUACUAUUCUAACUUUAUCCUAUGUGGGCUACUAUGUAACUGCUGUGUAUACUAACUACUAUAACUGUAUGUUACCUGCAUACAAACUCUUACAUAACAGCUAGCCUAACUGUUGCAGAGGUCACAAAUAACUAAAGAAUGUCUCUUGCAAACUGGAUUUUUGCAUUUCUUGCAAGAGAGUGUGGUUUUAACAUCCCUUGGGAAGCAUCUUGGGCAUCGUUUUCUCUUGGCUGAGGAACUAGUCAGGGAAGGACCAGCCAAGAAGGAAUGAGCCGAGAAGGGGUCAGCCGGGGAUGGAAUGGCUCCGGAGGGACCGGCAGUGGAGGGGUCAGCUCUGAAGGGAACGGUAGUGGACGGGCCAACCGUGGAGGGACCAGCUUCUCUAUCAUCUGUUCCCUGAAGUUUUCGCAUGAGAUGCAGGGAGGCUGGUGCGCGUGGAAUGCCCUGUCUGGAUUUUAUGAAGGGGGUCACAAGUGAUCUCCCAAGCUCCUCGAGGAAAGUCCUCCUCUUGAAGAAGCACCCCUGUUUCCAAGUGGGAUUAAUUUCCCUCCACAGCACGAAUGCAUUAUAGGCAGAUACAUCGACCAUGCUGAAGAACAGCGCCAUUGGCCAGCGAGCCGUCCUCCUCCCACAUGUAUAGUUUGCAACAAUCUAGAAUAUUACACAAACAUACACACACAAACACAUUUAGUAUAUAUGCGGUCAUCAAAUGGUGGUUCAUUUCACUUUAUAUGCUAUUUAGCAUGGCAAAUAAGUUACCAGUAGCAAUCACAAUAAUAAUAAUAAUAACAAUAUCAAUGACAAUAAUAAGAAGACAAUAUAAAGUAGCAAAUACCUGGUCAAGAGUGUCCAGGCCACCUUUGGUGUUGUUGUAAUCAAGAAUCAUUUUAGGCUUCCUGUCCUCUCUUUCGCUGAUUGUUGCCGUUUUGUGCAUGGUGCUCAUGAGAAGUACAUUUUUAUUUUUUUUGGGACAGUAUGACACGAUGGCGUGUGUAUCUGUGAAUGCAAAUAGUGACGAGAAGCGAGCCCUGCCUCUUUGGUUUGUCAAUGCACUUGGAAGCUCCGGUUUGUUUCUUCGCACCGUUCCGAGCAUUCUUAUUUCUUUUUGUAGGAGCUCUGUCCCAAGAGCAUAAGAUGUAAAAAAAUUGUCACAUGUGACAAUAUGUCCCUGAAGGCCAUGCGUCAUUUCAUUCAAGACUCAUUUGCCCAAGUUUUUCUCAUGCUGUACUCCUGCAGGUUUGCCUGUGUAUACCUGCAUAUUCCAGGAGUAACUACUUUCUGCAUCACAGGCUGUCCAGAUUUUGAUGCCAUAUUUUGCAGGCUUGCUUGGCAUGUAUUGUUUAAAAGGACACCACCCCCUGAAUCCAACCAGACACUCAUCCACAGUCACAUUGAGACCAGGAUUGUACAUCAGUGGCAGUCUCUCCACCCAUUUGUCCCACAUUUCUCUGAUUGGUGACAAAGUUUGUCAGUUUGCCUUCUUGCAUCUCUUGUUCUCUUGUGAUCGAAUCUGAUAACCCUUGACAGUCUUUGGAACAUUUUGAGAGGCAUGGUGGCCCGAAAAAUUGCCCUCCCCAUCUCAGCAUCCCAUAAGCUGCUUGUUGCCUCAUUAUUUGAUUUGAAAACGCCAGCCAGUAUCAGAAGGCCAAUAUAUGCUUGCAUUUCUUCCCAUUCAAUGUUAUUCCAUUCCUUUGCAAAGACUCGUCGCCCCUCUAAGUUAGUCAUUUCCAGCAGAAUGUUCUGAAUUGAUGUUGUUAAAUAUAAUUCAAAAGUUGACAGUAUGUCCUUCACUCGCACACACGCAUACCUUGUUGGUCCAGGGGUAUGUCUGGGGACCUUCUGUGUCCGUGCUCUUUCUUGUGUCUGUACAGGAGGAGAUGAAGACCACAGUAUUUCCCCAUUUCUUGAGGUGUAAGUUACCAGGCCUUCUUCAUCUGAUUCUUCCUCCUCUGACUCAAAAUCCGGGGCAGCUUCUGUAAAAUCCUCUUCUUCAGAGGUAUCAUCUGCUGGAUUUUUUGGGACAGCAUUCUCUUCCUCUUCACUAGACUGAAGCAGGUAUUCGAGGGUCUCCUGAGCAGUGAACCGUCUUUGUGCCAUUGUGCAAAAUGACAGGGCAGGCCUCAAUGUAGCAAAACUUAUUCCACCUCACACCCAAUCAAGUUUUUGUUUUUAUUUACAGAUGCUGGUAUUGGACUCGAGGUUACUAGGGCAGAAUCUCAGCCUUUGAUCUCACUCUCACUGUCAGCCUUUGAUCUUACUCUGUGUGUGUGCAGACAAUGUCAAACUUUUGCACUCUGGAUAUGUAAUUUUUGAUCCAUUCAUUUUAUUUCACAUUCUCAAAAUGUUAAAGUCCAUUUGUGUGUGUGUGUGUGUGUGUGAGAGAGAGAGAGAGAGAGAGAGAGAGAAAAAACAUUCCAUCAACUGUCAAGAUUUGUGAGAUUUUAUGACAAGGGAACAAGAGCUGCAGAAAAGCAAAAUGACAAACAGGCACCUGUCCCAGAGAUUUGGGGAAAACAAGUAGAGAGACUACCAUUUAUGUACAGUCCUUGGUCAUAAGAAAAACCUGGACAAGCAAAUAGUGAAUGGAAUGAUGCAUGGCCUUCAGGAACAUAUUGUUCAGUGGCACAGAGCUCCUGCAAAAAAAAUAAAAAUCCUCAGAAUGGUGCAAAGGACCAAGUCUGAGUUUCUAAGUGCACUGACAAACCCAAGAGGCAGUGCUUGCUUCUCAUCGCUGUUUUACAGACAGCAGGUCAUAGGUGUGUGUGUGUGUGUGUGUGUGUAUGUGAUUAUUCAGAGUGUCAUACCUUCACUGCUGUUAGAUUUUCUCUGCAUUAUGACUGAAUUAUUGAAUGGAUUUCACAUUCUCAAAACUUUGCUCUGUGUUACAGACACAGUAGUUCAUAGGUGUCUAUGUGUGUGUGUGUGUGUGUGUGUGUGUGUGUGCAUCUGUGUGUGAUUGGAUGUGUCAAUAUCACACUCUUGAUGUUUUAUAGUGUCAUCCCUUCACUGCUGUGCACUUUUUUCAGUUUUGUGAUCGAUUUGUAGAUUGUGUACACAAAUAUUCUCUGAAUUGUUGUAUUUUUGUCUAUUUCCCAUUCAUUUCCUAUGGACGGUCAUUUUUGACCGAAGACCCUGAGUGUUACUAUUUUUUUUACGCCCACUUAGACUGUUCGAAUCAUGCUCUCAAUUUUUUUGUGUGUUCACACCCCAAAUGCUAUGAAGGUCACCGCAUUUCAUAUCAUUCCGAUGAAGCUGUGAUUUUUAACAUUUCAAAACGUAAAAUAUUCCGGUCAGAAAUGACCGAAGACCGCACAAGGGUUAAG